Molecule: ribosomal RNA, 253 nt
Filed under: uncultured bacterium
Lineage: Bacteria
Description: partial 16S ribosomal RNA
Rfam family: Bacterial small subunit ribosomal RNA
Source: RNAcentral
GACAGAGGGUGCAAACGUUGUUCGGAAUUACUGGGCGUAAAGCGCGUGUAGGCGGCCAACUAAGUCGGGCGUGAAAUCCCACGGCUCAACCGUGGAAGUGCACUCGAAACUGGAUGCGUAUAGCGUCUGGAGAGGAAGGUGGAAUGCUUGGUGUAGAGGUGAAAUUCGUAGAUAUCAAGCGGACACCGGUGGCGAAGGCGGCCUUCUGGACAGUGACUGACGCUGAGACGCGAAAGCGUGGGGAGCAAACAGG